GCUGGAGCGUGUGUGGAUGUGAGCACUCUUUUCUCUCCUAUUAUUUGAGUGGCUGCAGGUACUGGUGUCUGCCUCUUUGCCUCUGUGCUAGAGGGAUAAAGAGGGAAAGACAGAGGACUAGUGCUUCAUAUCCCCCCUCUGGCCUCCCCAUCUCCCUGCUCCCUGUCACUCCAUCCUUCCUUCCUCCCUCCCGGACCACCCGUCAGCGGCUGGAUCAACCUGCCCGGACCUUCCUCCCACAACCCCUUUGACUAUCCUCACUUCACCGUCCCAUCUUGUGAACUGAGUGCAGGAAUUUCUGGUUACUGGGAGCUGAAGACUGGAUUUGGCAGUGCAGUCACAGACAAUCUUGGUCUGAAAGAGCAGAACCUUUAAAUACAAAUUUAAAAGUAAAC
Molecule: long non-coding RNA, 395 nt
Filed under: Sinocyclocheilus grahami
Lineage: Eukaryota; Metazoa; Chordata; Actinopteri; Cypriniformes; Cyprinidae
Description: lncRNA (ENSSGRG00000046875.1)
Source: RNAcentral